UAUUCAAUGGGGCUAUAUUUAACGCUUAUUAUACGCUUAACUUGAUUAUUCGUAUCGUAUACUAAGUUUUUACUAAAUAUAUAGCUGUGAUAGACAUCAUGUCACUUUUAUAUACAUUUUCAAAUUUGACCGUAUAGUUACGACUCAUUCCGGUCUCAUGACAGUGCUGAUGAAGUUACGCUCUCAUUACGGUGCUAAUGAGAUUUCAAAAUGUUUUAUAUAACACGCGCGGUAAAACCUCGUUUAUCCGCAGCUUGUUUAUACGAACAAAUUAAUUCUGAGCCUCUUUAAGCACAGACCGUCACGUAACCGCAACGUCACGUACCGGUCGGUGACGAAUAGUGUGAACGGUCUCAUUUAAAACGUAUGUUUCAAUGUUUUGUCGUGACGUUGCCGUUACGUAACGGUCCGCGCCGUAUAGCGUAAAUUGACCUUUAUUCCUAUAAUAGAAAUAUUUACAUACACGCGAUCAUUUGUCCUUCUUCAAAAUAAAUUCUAUCUGUCAAAGGAGGAACAAUCGAAAUUCCAACACCUGCGGGGCACUGUCCACGAAGCGUCGCUUCGUACAAGCGUAAACGUUUGUUUGUUGUCUAUUAAAACGUGACGAUACGUCUAUGAGCGAUGUUGAGUCUACGAGGCGUACAUUGCAGGCAGACACAUGUCGCAGACAAACAGCAUCUUUCCUGCAAAAUCCACGGACGACGGGAGACAACAUUUAAGCGGAAAGACAGCUCGCGGAUAAAACCACGUCCACACCGACUGACAAUUAUCGGCAGACACGCGUCAGGGAGAAUCCCAAUAAAAUGCACGUCCGCAGUCAAGUAUUUUAUUAUCCACUGAGAUGGAAGACACGAGAGACGCGUGCGGGCAAAAACUCUCAGAAAAAAUAUGCAUUUUAUCUAGUUUGGGAAGUAACGAUUCCGCUGUGCGACGCUGAGAUUUAUGACACGGUACUUGAUACGGUGACAAGAAACGGUGAAAGUAGAAAAUUUGAAAAUACACGCCGUUUGUCGAAAUCACUGCAAAGUCACGUAAUGAAGUCACGCGUCGUAAAGAAUCGUUCGGAAAUAGAGCAAAGGUCAACAUUAUUUUUAUCUCAGAACCAUAUAUUUUCUAAUACGUUGAUCGAUCUUUCUUGAAAUUCCCCAUAAAAGUUUUAUUGUUAUUAUUAUAAAUGUUAUUAUAAAAUGUAUUACAAUAAACUUAUUACGCUUUAUGUUAUAUAUGAAACACUUAUUAACACCAAAGAAACAAAUUUGUCCAACAGUCGAAAAACACAAAUAAAAUCAUUAGAUACUGGGUUUCUGUUAAAUGUUAAUAA
This is a long non-coding RNA of Bombus terrestris (buff-tailed bumblebee), 1321 nucleotides long. RefSeq lists it as uncharacterized. The transcript is spliced from 2 exons. NCBI's taxonomy places the organism in Eukaryota, Metazoa, Arthropoda, Insecta, Hymenoptera, Apidae. The record is from RefSeq and is a predicted model, not a curated record.